AGAACUCACAAGCUAUGAGUGACAUCUAACCAUAUGUCAUAGCUACCCAAGCUAAUGUAGAAGUUGUUCGGAGCACCCAUUCAGUUGGAAUUACAAUGUAAUUCGAUCUUUCUCUAAAACAAUACUCUCAAUCACAUUAUUAGGGUAUGGAUAUAUUAUGUUAAACCUCUAAUGUGAUUAUUCCUUCUUAUAUGAUUCUAUUGAGUCGUAUAGGAACGCUUUCCUUUAUUACACUCGAUACUUUGGCCGAAGAUUCCCGAAUCAUAUCUUAGAGUAUUCUUCCUCUCUAAUCGAGGAUUAGACAUUCCUUGUUGCGCAUUCACUUGCCUUCAUGACUAAGUGGCUUAACCCC
This 352-nucleotide long non-coding RNA is filed under the name Malus domestica (apple). RNAcentral describes it as "long non-coding RNA (MDOM_LNC021000)". Lineage: Eukaryota; Viridiplantae; Streptophyta; Magnoliopsida; Rosales; Rosaceae. The record is from RNAcentral.